UUUUCCUACGGGGGGCAGCAGUUAGGAAUAUUCGGCAAUGGGGGAAACCCUGACCGAGCAAUGCCGCGUGUGAGAUGACAGCCCUAUGGGUUGUAAAUCACUUUUAUUUGGGAAGAAUUGUAAGCAUAGGAAAUGAUGUUUACUUGACGGUACCUUUUGAAUAAGCCCCGGCUAACUACGUGCCAGCAGCCGCGGUAAUACGUAGGGGGCGAGCGUUAUCCGGAUUUAUUGGGUUUAAAGGGAGCGUAGAUGGGUUGUUAAGUCAGUUGUGAAAGUUUGCGGCUCAACCGUAAAAUUGCAAUUGA
This 305-nucleotide ribosomal RNA is filed under the name uncultured bacterium. RNAcentral's name for it is "bacterial SSU rRNA". It matches the Rfam family "Bacterial small subunit ribosomal RNA", at positions 334 to 630 of the family's 1533-position model. The record is from RNAcentral.